This 497-nucleotide ribosomal RNA is filed under the name uncultured bacterium. RNAcentral's name for it is "partial 16S ribosomal RNA". It matches the Rfam family "Bacterial small subunit ribosomal RNA", at positions 28 to 507 of the family's 1533-position model. The record is from RNAcentral.
GAUGAACGCUGGCGGCGUGCCUAAUACAUGUAAGUCGAGCGAACAGAUGAGGAGCUUGCUCCUCUGACGUUAGCGGCGGACGGGUGAGUAACACGUGGAUAACCUACCUAUAAGACUGGGAUAACUUCGGGAAACCGGAGCUAAUACCGGAUAAUAUAUUGAACCGCAUGGUUCAAUAGUGAAAGACGGUUUUGCUGUCACUUAUAGAUGGAUCCGCGCCGCAUUAGCUAGUUGGUAAGGUAACGGCUUACCAAGGCAACGAUGCGUAGCCGACCUGAGAGGGUGAUCGGCCACACUGGAACUGAGACACGGUCCAGACUCCUACGGGAGGCAGCAGUAGGGAAUCUUCCGCAAUGGGCGAAAGCUUGACGGAGCAACGCCGCGUGAGUGAUGAAGGUCUUCGGAUCGUAAAACUCUGUUAUUAGGGAAGAACAAAUGUGUAAGUAACUAUGCACGUCUUGACGGUACCUAAUCAGAAAGCCACGGCUAACUACGUG